Long non-coding RNA from Sarcophilus harrisii (Tasmanian devil), 1035 nucleotides. RefSeq lists it as uncharacterized. NCBI's taxonomy places the organism in Eukaryota, Metazoa, Chordata, Mammalia, Dasyuromorphia, Dasyuridae. The record is from RefSeq and is a predicted model, not a curated record. The transcript is spliced from 2 exons.
CCUCUUUUUAAUAGAUGAAGAAGAGAAAGACAAAGAAAAGUUAAAUGGGCCACACAGCUAAUAAGUUUCUAAAGGUAGACUCUAAACUCAGGCUUUCCUAUGACUUCAAGUUCAACACUAUCUACCCUGCUCGUAGCCUUUAGAAAUCUCUUCAUUGUCAAUAUUUAUUUCUUUAUUUUUCUUGCUUCACUUAUAAGUGAAGGAUUCAUGGGAGGACAAGGGCAAAGAUGGUAGAGGAUGAAAAAGCAAGAAUGAAUGGAAAUUGGCCUUCUGAGAGAGAAUACCAACAUGGAUGAGAUCACAUUGGACUAUCAGCAGACGAGGAAACAGAAGAGCAGAAACAGGUUGUGACCGAGGUCAUGGAGCUCAGGAGGAGCCCUCCUUUCCCUAUCCCUUGACAGAGACCAGCCACAUCACACUGUACUUUGUGAGUAUAAAUACAUUUAUUGGUGUUCCUGAGGAUGGGGAGGCUGUGGGCUAGAGGCUUGUCACAGGAUUUAGGGGCUCUGGAAGCUGCCACCUUCGUGUGUGUGUGUGUGUGUGUGUGUGUGUGUGUAUGUGUGUGUGUGUGUUCAGGUAGCUUAGGGAAAGGGGGCAUUUGUGAGAUGAGCCAUAAAGGCAAGGGGCCCCCAAGUCCAGAGACUGCUGGUUUGGAGAUUGUCCUGGGAUGGUGCCAGGCUCUACUGGGUGUGCCUUGGGCAGUGUCAGGGUCCAAAAGGUAUGCUGUGUUUGGAGAGCGUCCCUGCAGUGAUGCCAGGGUCCAGAAGGUGUGCCCUGGGCAGUGCCAGAGUGAGGAGGGUGAGACUCGGGCCCCAGUCUUCUCAUCGGCCCUGUGCCUGCAGCCGCUGCAUCUGUAAGAUCUGAUUUAGGAUUCGCUGGACAUCUUCAUCCAUCUGACCCUGGGGUGGAGAAGAUGUUACUACUGGGAUAGGGGGCGGGCCAACUCUUCUUCCUCACACACUGGUGAGAGAGGGAAUGAAUGAAACAGCACCAACCUCCAGAUGAAAGGAACAGCCCCACUUCCCCUUUACAAUC